RNAcentral lists this ribosomal RNA (460 nucleotides) under uncultured bacterium. Its description in RNAcentral is "partial 16S ribosomal RNA". It matches the Rfam family "Bacterial small subunit ribosomal RNA", at positions 338 to 795 of the family's 1533-position model. The record is from RNAcentral.
CCUACGGGAGGCAGCAGUGAGGCAUAUUGGUCAAUGGGCGCGAGCCUGAACCAGCCAAGUAGCGUGAAGGAUGACUGCCCUACGGGUUGUAAACUUCUUUUAUAUGGGAAUAAAAUGUUCCACGUGUGGGAUUUUGUAUGUACCAUAUGAAUAAGGAUCGGCUAAUUCCGUGCCAGCAGCCGCGGUAAUACGGAAGGUCCGGGCGUUAUCCGGAUUUAUUGGGUUUAAAGGGAGCGUAGGCCGGCUUUUAAGUCAGCUGUGAAAGUCCGCGGCUCAACCGUGGAAUUGCAGUUGAAACUGGAGGCCUUGAGUGCACACAGGGAUGCCGGAAUUCAUGGUGUAGCGGUGAAAUGCUUAGAUAUCAUGAAGAACUCCGAUCGCGAAGGCAAGUGUCCGGGGUGCAACUGACGCUGAGGCUCGAAAGUGCGGGUAUCAAACAGGAUUAGAUACCCUAGUAGUC